Molecule: ribosomal RNA, 448 nt
Filed under: uncultured bacterium
Lineage: Bacteria
Description: partial 16S ribosomal RNA
Rfam family: Bacterial small subunit ribosomal RNA
Source: RNAcentral
GUCCAGACUCCUACGGGAGGCAGCAGUGGGGAAUAUUGCACAAUGGGGGAAACCCUGAUGCAGCGACGCCGCGUGAGCGAUGAAGUAUUUCGGUAUGUAAAGCUCUAUCAGCAGGGAAGAAAAUGACGGUACCUGACUAAGAAGCCCCGGCUAACUACGUGCCAGCAGCCGCGGUAAUACGUAGGGGGCAAGCGUUAUCCGGAUUUACUGGGUGUAAAGGGAGCGUAGACGGCGGUGCAAGCCAGAUGUGAAAGCCCGGGGCUCAACCCCGGGACUGCAUUUGGAACUGUGCUGCUAGAGUGUCGGAGAGGCAGGCGGAAUUCCUAGUGUAGCGGUGAAAUGCGUAGAUAUUAGGAGGAACACCAGUUGCGAAGGCGGCUCUCUGGACUGUAACUGACACUGAGGCACGAAAGCGUGGGGAGCAAACAGGAUUAGAUACCCGAGUACU